GUACAUUAUUGCAGAGGCCGGGAAAGGGCAAUUCGUGGAUGAGUUUCGAUUUUGUCGGACGACGCGAAGCGGAGUCCGACAAAGAAGACGAAUCCACGAAUUGCUAUUCCUGCCGAGGCAUAUAUAUAAAAUAAUAAAUAUUUAAGCAUCUAGCAUCACUCGAAUCGAACCUUCACAUCAAAAAUUUCAAAAACAAUUUCCCUCUUUAAUUAU
Long non-coding RNA from Cydia amplana, 213 nucleotides. RefSeq lists it as uncharacterized. The record is from RefSeq and is a predicted model, not a curated record. NCBI's taxonomy places the organism in Eukaryota, Metazoa, Arthropoda, Insecta, Lepidoptera, Tortricidae. The transcript has 2 exons.